Molecule: non-coding RNA, 30 nt
Filed under: Rattus norvegicus (Norway rat)
Lineage: Eukaryota; Metazoa; Chordata; Mammalia; Rodentia; Muridae
Source: RNAcentral
UACUGAGUUGGCCAACAUGGACAUUUCUGU